CGUGUACGGCCCGCCCAUAGCUCCUUCGACGGCGCCGCCUAGGAACGCGGAGAAAAUAUGACAAAGGAACGGCCAAAAAUAAAAAGAAAGACCUUUCUUUUGAAAAAACAAACAAAAAAAAAGGAAUGCAACACGAGGACUUCCCAGGAGGUCACCCAUCCUAGUACUACUCUCGCCCAAGCACGCUUAACUUCGGAGUUCUGAUGGGAUCCGGUGCUUUAGUGCUGGUAUGAUCGCAUCCGACAUACCGUGCGUUCUCCUCCCCUUUAUGCCCGCGCCUCCGUGUACGGCCCGCCCAUAGCUCCUUCGACGGCGCCGCCUAGGAACGCGGAGAAAAUAUGACAAAGGAACGGCCAAAAAUAAAAAGAAAGACCUUUCUUUUGAAAAAACAAACAAAAAAAAGGAAUGCAACACGAGGACUUCCCAGGAGGUCACCCAUCCUAGUACUACUCUCGCCCAAGCACGCUUAACUUCGGAGUUCUGAUGGGAUCCGGUGCUUUAGUGCUGGUAUGAUCGCAUCCGACAUACCGUGCGUUCUCCUCCCCUUUAUGCCCGCGCCUCCGUGUACGGCCCGCCCAUAGCUCCUUCGACGGCGCCGCCUAGGAACGCGGAGAAAAUAUGACAAAGGAACGGCCAAAAAUAAAAAGAAAGACCUUUCUUUUGAAAAAACAAACAAAAAAAAGGAAUGCAACACGAGGACUUCCCAGGAGGUCACCCAUCCUAGUACUACUCUCGCCCAAGCACGCUUAACUUCGGAGUUCUGAUGGGAUCCGGUGCUCUAGUGCUGGUAUGAUCGCAUCCGACAUACCGUGCGUUCUCCUCCCCUUUAUGCCCGCGCCUCCGUGUACGGCCCGCCCAUAGCUCCUUCGACGGCGCCGCCUAGGAACGCGGAGAAAAUAUGACAAAGGAACGGCCAAAAAUAAAAAGAAAGACCUUUCUUUUGAAAAAACAAACAAAAAAAAAGGAAUGCAACACGAGGACUUCCCAGGAGGUCACCCAUCCUAGUACUACUCUCGCCCAAGCACGCUUAACUUCGGAGUUCUGAUGGGAUCCGGUGCUUUAGUGCUGGUAUGAUCGCAUCCGACAUACCGUGCGUUCUCCUCCCCUUUAUGCCCGCGCCUCCGUGUACGGCCCGCCCAUAGCUCCUUCGACGGCGCCGCCUAGGAACGCGGAGAAAAUAUGACAAAGGAACGGCCAAAAAUAAAAAGAAAGACCUUUCUUUUGAAAAAACAAACAAAUAAAAGGAAUGCAACACGAGGACUUCCUAGGAGGUCACCCAUCCUAGUACUACUCUCGCCCAAGCACGCUUAACUUCGGAGUUCUAAUGGGAUCCGGUGCUUUAGUGCUGGUAUGAUCGCAUCCGACAUACCGUGCGUUCUCCUCCCCUUUAUGCCCGCGCCUCCGUGUACGGCCCGCCCAUAGCUCCUUCGACGGCGCCGCCUAGGAACGCGGAGAAAAUAUGACAAAGGAACGGCCAAAAAUAAAAAGAAAGACCUUUCUUUUGAAAAAACAAACAAAAAAAAGGAAUGCAACACGAGGACUUCCCAGGAGGUCACCCAUCCUAGUACUACUCUCGCCCAAGCACGCUUAACUUCGGAGUUCUGAUGGGAUCCGGUGCUUUAGUGCUGGUAUGAUCGCAUCCGACAUACCGUGCGUUCUCCUCCCCUUUAUGCCCGCGCCUCCGUGUACGGCCCGCCCAUAGCUCCUUCGACGGCGCCGCCUAGGAACGCGGAGAAAAUAUGACAAAGGAACGGCCAAAAAUAAAAAGAAAGACCUUUCUUUUGAAAAAACAAACAAAAAAAAGGAAUGCAACACGAGGACUUCCCAGGAGGUCACCCAUCCUAGUACUACUCUCGCCCAAGCACGCUUAACUUCGGAGUUCUGAUGGGAUCCGGUGCUUUAGUGCUGGUAUGAUCGCAUCCGACAUACCGUGCGUUCUCCUCCCCUUUAUGCCCGCGCCUCCGUGUACGGCCCGCCCAUAGCUCCUUCGACGGCGCCGCCUAGGAACGCGGAGAAAAUAUGACAAAGGAACGGCCAAAAAUAAAAAGAAAGACCUUUCUUUUGAAAAAACAAACAAAAAAAAGGAAUGCAACACGAGGACUUCCCAGGAGGUCACCCAUCCUAGUACUACUCUCGCCCAAGCACGCUUAACUUCGGAGUUCUGAUGGGAUCCGGUGCUUUAGUGCUGGUAUGAUCGAAUCCGACAUACCGUGCGUUCUCCUCCCCUUUAUGCCCGCGCCUCCGUGUACGGUCCGCCCAUAGCUCCUUCGACGGCGCCGCCUAGGAACGCGGAGAAAAUAUGACAAAGGAACGGCCAAAAAUAAAAAGAAAGACCUUUCUUUUGAAAAAACAAACAAAUAAAAGGAAUGCAACACGAGGACUUCCCAGGAGGUCACCCAUCCUAGUACUACUCUCGCCCAAGCACGCUUAACUUCGGAGUUCUGAUGGGAUCCGGUGCUUUAGUGCUGGUAUGAUCGCAUCCGACAUACCGUGCGUUCUCCUCCCCUUUAUGCCCGCGCCUCCGUGUACGGCCCGCCCAUAGCUCCUUCGACGGCGCCGCCUAGGAACGCGGAGAAAAUAUGACAAAGGAACGGCCAAAAAUAAAAAGAAAGACCUUUCUUUUGAAAAAACAAACAAAUAAAAGGAAUGCAACACGAGGACUUCCCAGGAGGUCACCCAUCCUAGUACUACUCUCGCCCAAGCACGCUUAACUUCGGAGUUCUGAUGGGAUCCGGUGCUUUAGUGCUGGUAUGAUCGCAUCCGACAUACCGUGCGUUCUCCUCCCCUUUAUGCCCGCGCCUCCGUGUACGGCCCGCCCAUAGCUCCUUCGACGGCGCCGCCUAGGAACGCGGAGAAAAUAUGACAAAGGAACGGCCAAAAAUAAAAAGAAAGACCUUUCUUUUGAAAAAACAAACAAAAAAAAGGAAUGCAGCACCAGGACUUCCCGGAAGGUCACCCAUCCAAAUACAACUCUCGCCGAACCACGUUUAACUUCGAAUUUCUAAUGGAAUCCGGGGCUUUAGAGCUGGAAUGAUCGCAUCCGACAUACCGUGCGUUCUCCUCCCCUUUAUGCCCGCGCCUCCGUGUACGGCCCGCCCAUAGCUCCUUCGACGGCGCCGCCUAGGAACGCGGAGAAAAUAUGACAAAGGAGCGGCCAAAAAUAAAAAGAAAGACCUUUCUUUUGAAAAAACAAACAAAUAAAAGGAAUGCAACACGAGGACUUCCUAGGAGGUCACCCAUCCUAGUACUACUCUCGCCCAAGCACGCUUAACUUCGGAGUUCUGAUGGGAUCCGGUGCUUUAGUGCUGGUAUGAUCGCAUCCGACAUACCGUGCGUUCUCCUCCCCUUUAUGCCCGCGCCUCCGUGUACGGCCCGCCCAUAGCUCCUUCGACGGCGCCGCCUAGGAACGCGGAGAAAAUAUGACAAAGGAACGGCCAAAAAUAAAAAGAAAGACCUUUCUUUUGAAAAAACAAACGCCUCCGUGUACGGCCCGCCCAUAGCUCCUUCGACGGCGCCGCCUAGGAACGCGGAGAAAAUAUGACAAAGGAACGGCCAAAAAUAAAAAGAAAGACCUUUCUUUUGAAAAAACAAACAAAAAAAAGGAAUGCAACACGAGGACUUCCCAGGAGGUCACCCAUCCUAGUACUACUCUCGCCCAAGCACGCUUAACUUCGGAGUUCUGAUGGGAUCCGGUGCUUUAGUGCUGGUAUGAUCGCAUCCGACAUACCGUGCGUUCUCCUCCCCUUUAUGCCCGCGCCUCCGUGUACGGCCCGCCCAUAGCUCCUUCGACGGCGCCGCCUAGGAACGCGGAGAAAAUAUGACAAAGGAACGGCCAAAAAUAAAAAGAAAGACCUUUCUUUUGAAAAAACAAACAAAUAAAAGGAAUGCAACACGAGGACUUCCCAGGAGGUCACCCAUCCUAGUACUACUCUCGCCCAAGCACGCUUAACUUCGGAGUUCUGAUGGGAUCCGGUGCUUUAGUGCUGGUAUGAUCGCAUUCGACAUACCGAUGCGUUCUCAUCCCCGUUAUGCGCCGCGCCUCUGUGUACGGCCCGCCCAUAGCUCCUUUGACUGCGCCUCGUAGGAUCGCGGAGAAUAUAUGACAAAGGCACGGCCAAACAUAAAACGAAAGACCUCUCUUUUGCAACAACAAACAAAAUAAAGGAAUGCAACACGAGGACUUCCCAGGAGGUCACCCAUCCUAGUACUAGUCUCGCUCAAGCACGCUGAUCUUCGGAGUUCUGAUGGGAUCCGGUGCUUUAGUGCUGGUAUGAUCGCAUCCGACAUACCGUGCGUUCUCCUCCCCUUUAUGCCCGCGCCUCCGUGUACGGCCCGCCCAUAGCUCCUUCGACGGCGCCGCCUAGGAACGCGGAGAAAAUAUGACAAAGGAACGGCCAAAAAUAAAAAGAAAGACCUUUCUUUUGAAAAAACAAACAAAAAAAAGGAAUGCAACACGAGGACUUCCCAGGAGGUCACCCAUCCUAGUACUACUCUCGCCCAAGCACGCUUAACUUCGGAGUUCUGAUGGGAUCCGGUGCUUUAGUGCUGGUAUGAUCGCAUCCGACAUACCGUGCGUUCUCCUCCCCUUUAUGCCCGCGCCUCCGUGUACGGCCCGCCCAUAGCUCCUUCGACGGCGCCGCCUAGGAACGCGGAGAAAAUAUGACAAAGGAACGGCCAAAAAUAAAAAGAAAGACCUUUCUUUUGAAAAAACAAACAAAUAAAAGGAAUGCAACACGAGGACUUCCCAGGAGGUCACCCAUCCUAGUACUACUCUCGCCCAAGCACGCUUAACUUCGGAGUUCUGAUGGGAUCCGGUGCUUUAGUGCUGGUAUGAUCGCAUCCGACAUACCGUGCGUUCUCCUCCCCUUUAUGCCCGCGCCUCCGUGUACGGCCCGCCCAUAGCUCCUUCGACGAGCCCGCCUAGGAACGCGGAGAAAAUAUGACAAAGGAACGGCCAAAAAUAAAAAGAAAGACCUUUCUUUUGAAAAAACAAACAAAUAAAAGGAAUGCAACACGAGGACUUCCCAGGAGGUCACCCAUCCUAGUACUACUCUCGCCCAAGCACGCUUAACUUCGGAGUUCUGAUGGGAUCCGGUGCUUUAGUGCUGGUAUGAUCGCAUCCGACAUACCGUGCGUUCUCCUCCCCUUUAUGCCCGCGCCUCCGUGUACGGCCCGCCCAUAGCUCCUUCGACGGCGCCGCCUAGGAACGCGGAGAAAAUAUGACAAAGGAACGGCCAAAAAUAAAAAGAAAGACCUUUCUUUUGAAAAAACAAACAAAAAAAAGGAAUGCAACACGAGGACUUCCCAGGAGGUCACCCAUCCUAGUACUACUCUCGCCCAAGCACGCUUAACUUCGGAGUUCUGAUGGGAUCCGGUGCUUUAGUGCUGGUAUGAUCGCAUCCGACAUACCGUGCGUUCUCCUCCCCUUUAUGCCCGCGCCUCCGUGUACGGCCCGCCCAUAGCUCCUUCGACGGCGCCGCCUAGGAACGCGGAGAAAAUAUGACAAAGGAACGGCCAAAAAUAAAAAGAAAGACCUUUCUUUUGAAAAAACAAACAAAUAAAAGGAAUGCAACACGAGGACUUCCCAGGAGGUCACCCAUCCUAGUACUACUCUCGCCCAAGCACGCUUAACUUCGGAGUUCUGAUGGGAUCCGGUGCUUUAGUGCUGGUAUGAUCGCAUCCGACAUACCGUGCGUUCUCCUCCCCUUUAUGCCCGCGCCUCCGUGUACGGCCCGCCCAUAGCUCCUUCGACGGCGCCGCCUAGGAACGCGGAGAAAAUAUGACAAAGGAACGGCCAAAAAUAAAAAGAAAGACCUUUCUUUUGAAAAAACAAACAAAUAAAAGGAAUGCAACACGAGGACUUCCCAGGAGGUCACCCAUCCUAGUACUACUCUCGCCCAAGCACGCUUAACUUCGGAGUUCUGAUGGGAUCCGGUGCUUUAGUGCUGGUAUGAUCGCAUCCGACAUACCGUGCGUUCUCCUCCCCUUUAUGCCCGCGCCUCCGUGUACGGUCCGCCCAUAGCUCUUUAGUUGGCGCCUCCUAGGAACGCGGAGAAAAUAUGACAAAGGAACGGCCAAAAAUAAAAAGAAAGACCUUUCUUUUGAAAAAACAAACGCCUCCGUGUACGGCCCGCCCAUAGCUCCUUCGACGGCGCCGCCUAGGAACGCGGAGAAAAUAUGACAAAGGAACGGCCAAAAAUAAAAAGAAAGACCUUUCUUUUGAAAAAACAAACAAAAAAAAGGAAUGCAACACGAGGACUUCCCAGGAGGUCACCCAUCCUAGUACUACUCUCGCCCAAGCACGCUUAACUUCGGAGUUCUGAUGGGAUCCGGUGCUUUAGUGCUGGUAUGAUCGCAUCCGACAUACCGUGCGUUCUCCUCCCCUUUAUGCCCGCGCCUCCGUGUACGGCCCGCCCAUAGCUCCUUCGACGGCGCCGCCUAGGAACGCGGAGAAAAUAUGACAAAGGAACGGCCAAAAAUAAAAAGAAAGACCUUUCUUUUGAAAAAACAAACAAAUAAAAGGAAUGCAACACGAGGAGUUCCCAGGAGGUCACCCAUCCUAGUACUACUCUCGCCCAAGCACGCUUAACUUCGGAGUUCUGAUGGGAUCCGGUGCUUUAGUGCUGGUAUGAUCGCAUCCGACAUACCGUGCGUUCUCCUCCCCUUUAUGCCCGCGCCUCCGUGUACGGCCCGCCCAUAGCUCCUUCGAUGGCGCCGCCUAGGAACGCGGAGAAAAUAUGACAAAGGAACGGCCAAAAAUAAAAAGAAAGACCUUUCUUUUGAAAAAACAAACGCCUCCGUGUACGGCCCGCCCAUAGCUCCUUCGACGGCGCCGCCUAGGAACGCGGAGAAAAUAUGACAAAGGAACGGCCAAAAAUAAAAAGAAAGACCUUUCUUUUGAAAAAACAAACAAAAAAAAGGAAUGCAACACGAGGACUUCCCAGGAGGUCACCCAUCCUAGUACUACUCUCGCCCAAGCACGCUUAACUUCGGAGUUCGGAUGGGAUCCGGUGCUUUAGUGCUGGUAUGAUCGCAUCCGACAUACCGUGCGUUCUCCUCCCCUUUAUGCCCGCGCCUCCGUGUACGGCCCGCCCAUAGCUCCUUCGACGGCGCCGCCUAGGAACGCGGAGAAAAUAUGACAAAGGAACGGCCAAAAAUAAAAAGAAAGACCUUUCUUUUGAAAAAACAAACAAAUAAAAGGAAUGCAACACGAGGACUUCCCAGGAGGUCACCCAUCCUAGUACUACUCUCGCCCAAGCACGCUUAACUUCGGAGUUCUGAUGGGAUCCGGUGCUUUAGUGCUGGUAUGAUCGCAUCCGACAUACCGUGCGUUCUCCUCCCCUUUAUGCCCGCGCCUCCGUGUACGGCCCGCCCAUAGCUCCUUCGACGGCGCCGCCUAGGAACGCGGAGAAAAUAUGACAAAGGAACGGCCAAAAAUAAAAAGAAAGACCUUUCUUUUGAAAAAACAAACAAAAAAAAGGAAUGCAACACGAGGACUUCCCAGGAGGUCACCCAUCCUAGUACUACUCUCGCCCAAGCACGCUUAACUUCGCAGUUCUGAUGGGAUCCGGUGCUUUAGUGCUGGUAUGAUCGCAUCCGACAUACCGUGCGUUCUCCUCCCCUUUAUGCCCGCGCCUCCGUGUACGGCCCGCCCAUAGCUCCUUCGACGGCGCCGCCUAGGAACGCGGAGAAAAUAUGACAAAGGAACGGCCAAAAAUAAAAAGAAAGACCUUUCUUUUGAAAAAACAAACGGCUCCGUGUACGGCCCGCCCAUAGCUCCUUCGACGGCGCCGCCUAGGAACGCGGAGAAAAUAUGACAAAGGAACGGCCAAAAAUAAAAAGAAAGACCUUUCUUUUGAAAAAACAAACAAAAAAAAGGAAUGCAACACGAGGACUUCCCAGGAGGUCACCCAUCCUAGUACUACUCUCGCCCAAGCACGCUUAACUUCGGAGUUCUGAUGGGAUCCGGUGCUUUAGUGCUGGUAUGAUCGCAUCCGACAUACCGUGCGUUCUCCUCCCCUUUAUGCCCGCGCCUCCGUGUACGGCCCGCCCAUAGCUCCUUCGACGGCGCCGCCUAGGAACGCGGAGAAAAUAUGACAAAGGAACGGCCAAAAAUAAAAAGAAAGACCUUUCUUUUGAAAAAACAAACAAAUAAAAGGAAUGCAACACGAGGACUUCCCAGGAGGUCACCCAUCCUAGUACUACUCUCGCCCAAGCACGCUUAACUUCGGAGUUCUGAUGGGAUCCGGUGCUUUAGUGCUGGUAUGAUCGCAUCCGACAUACCGUGUGUCGACGAAAGCUGGUCGGCAGUCUACCUUGGGGUAUACCCACGGUAGUAGUUUAUCGGUAGACGGUGCGCAAACUACGAACUCGAUGGUGACGCAAGACACGGACAAGCUUUUUAUCCAGGUUCGGCCGCCGAGUUGGCGUAAUACCUACGUCCUGCGUCUGGUUGUAUUGGAUUGUGUUUAGAGAUAAUCUACCCUAGGGGGUCCCCUUGCCCCUCCUUAUAUAGUCUGGAGGGCAGGGUUACAGAUCUAGAAACUAAUCCUAGCCGGUUACAAUUGCCAUAGAUAAUUCGAUAUCAAUUCCUAUUCUAACCGACUAGAAUCCUGCUUGAUCUCCACGUCCUGUUUCCUUGCGCGAAACUCGGGCUAUCGGAUCAAGCCUUGAACUCGUCUCGUAGUGGGCCAAGCUUCCUAGCUGAAGUCUAGCCGUAAGGGUAUAGGGGUUUAUACCCCCACAGCUAGUCCCCGAGCGCCAUGUAUUGUGACGCAACACUCCGUCUUGAGCUUCUUCGAUCAGCGUGGUCUGUCGUCUUCAAUGAGCGGGGAAAUCGCCCAAACGGUUCAUUGAUCAACGUUGUCAUCGAAGAAGCAGGUUGUUCGAAGAAUGCAUGGUGCUCUAAAAAAAAUUUCUUUCCUGGUGAAGUGUGCCCACUUUGCCUUUCUGAAAGGUAGAAGCAACAAAAAAGCAAGCAAAUUCACCGCUAGGUGAAGUGUGCCCACUUAGUCCCCGAGCCUGGUAGUAGGUGUCGUAGGCACGUGGUGCCAGGGUCAAAAGAAAAUUCCCCAAAGUAGUUUUGGGACUGAGAUGCAUCGUACCGAUGUAGUCCCCGAGCUUGCUGGAAGGCGAAGUAUGAGCCUUGUAGCAAGGUCUAAAAAAUUGAAUUUACCAGUCCCCGAGCAUGUCAUGCUCGUCUGCAAUCGAAAAGACCAAUCGACCAGUCCCCAGGCACUUAGUGUGCUGCCUGGAAUUACAUGUUACUAUACUGUACGACCAGUCCCCGAGCAUCGAGUGCUCAGUGGUCGGUGCAUGCUUUAAAGCUUUGAGCUGAUAGACUGAGCGACCAGUCCCCGAGCGUCGAGUGCUCGGUGGUCGGUGAAGUCUUUGAAGUUCCGAGCUGAUAAACUGGGCGACCAGUCCCCGAGCGUCGAGUGCUCGGUGGUCGGUGCAGUCUUUGAAGUUCCGAGCUAAUAAACUGGGCGACCAGUCCCCGAGCGUCGAGUGCUCGGUGGUCGGUGCAGUCUUUGAAGUUCCGAGCUAAUAAACUGGGCGACCAGUCCCCGAGCGUCGAGUGCUCGGUGGUCGGUGCAGUCCCCGGAUUGCUGACUCACUGGCGUAUGUGUCUUCUUACUUUUGAAAAGGUCUUUCAAAUUUAAAGUUGACGUGACGGGGUCUCCUGACGAUAUGUCAGACGGAUGCAUGAAAAGCUGUGCCUGGCAACUGUACAACCGCUCUUUGCNNNNNNNNNNNNNNNNNNNNNNNNNNNNNNNNNNNNNNNNNNNNNNNNNNNNNNNNNNNNNNNNNNNNNNNNNNNNNNNNNNNNNNNNNNNNNNNNNNNNCGUUCUCCUCCCCUUUAUGCCCGCGCCUCCGUGUCCGUAAAGGGCAUAGCUCCUUCGACGGCGCCGCCGUAGGAACGCUGAGAAGAUAUGACAAAGGAACGGCCAAAAAUAAAAAGAAAGACCUUUCUUUUGAAAAAACAAACAAAAAAAAGGAAUGCAACACGAGGACUUCCCAGGAGGUCACCCAUCCUAGUACUACUCUCGCCCAAGCACGCUUAACUUCGGAGUUCUGAUGGGAUCCGGUGCUUUAGUGCUGGUAUGAUCGCAUCCGACAUACCGUGCGUUCUCCUCCCCUUUAUGCCCGCGCCUCCGUGUACGGCCGGCCCAUAGCUCCUUCGACGGCGCCGCCUAGGAACGCGGAGAAAAUAUGACAAAGGAAUUUUUUUAAAUAAAAAGAAAGACCUUUCUUUUGAAAAAACAAACGAAAAAAAGGAAUGCAACACGAGGACUUCCCAGGAGGUCACCCAUCCUAGUACUACUCUCGCCCAAGCACGCUUAACUUCGGAGUUCUGAUGGGAUCCGGUGCUUUAGUGCUGGUAUGAUCGCAUCCGACAUACCGUGCGUUCUCCUCCCCUUUAUGCCCGCGCCUCCGUGUACGGCCCGCCCAUAGCUCCUUCGACGGCGCCGCCUAAGAACGCGGAAAAAAUAUGACAAAGGAACGGCCAAAAAUAAAAAAAAAAAACCUUUCUUUUGAAAAAANNNNNNNNNNNNNNNNNNNNNNNNNNNNNNNNNNNNNNNNNNNNNNNNNNNNNNNNNNNNNNNNNNNNNNNNNNNNNNNNNNNNNNNNNNNNNNNNNNNNAAAAGGAAUGCAACACGAGGACUUCCCAGGAGGUCACCCAUCCUAGUACUACUCUCGCCCAAGCACGCUUAACUUCGGAGUUCUGAUGGGAUCCGGUGCUUUAGUGCUGGUAUGAUCGCAUCCGACAUACCGUGCGUUCUCCUCCCCUUUAUGCCCGCGCCUCCGUGUUACGGCCCGCCCAUAGCUCCUUCGACGGCGCCGCCUAGGAACGCGGAGAAAAUAUGACAAAGGAACGGCCAAAAAUCAAAAGAAAGACCUUUCUUUUGAAAAAACACACGCCUCCGUGUACGGCCCGCCCAUAGCUCCUUCGACGGCGCCGCCUAGGAACGCGGAGAAAAUAUGACAAAGGAACGGCCAAAAAUAAAAAGAAAGACCUUUCUUUUGAAAAAACAAACAAAUAAAAGGAAUGCAACACGAGGACUUCCCAGGAGGUCACCCAUCCUAGUACUACUCUCGCCCAAGCACGCUUAACUUCGGAGUUCUGAUGGGAUCCGGUGCUUUAGUGCUGGUAUGAUCGCAUCCGACAUACCGUGCGUUCUCCUCCCCUUUAUGCCCGCGCCUCCGUGUACGGCCCGCCCAUAGCUCCUUCGACGGCGCCGCCUAGGAACGCGGAGAAAAUAUGACAAAGGAACGGCCAAAAAUAAAAAGAAAGACCUUUCUUUUGAAAAAACAAACAAAUAAAAGGAAUGCAACACGAGGACUUCCCAGGAGGUCACCCAUCCUAGUACUACUCUCGCCCAAGCACGCUUAACUUCGGAGUUCUGAUGGGAUCCGGUGCUUUAGUGCUGGUAUGAUCGCAUCCGACAUACCGUGCGUUCUCCUCCCCUUUAUGCCCGCGCCUCCGUGUACGGCCCGCCCAUAGCUCCUUCGACGGCGCCGCCUAGGAACGCGGAGAAAAUAUGACAAAGGAACGGCCAAAAAUAAAAAGAAAGACCUUUCUUUUGAAAAAACAAACGCCUCCGUGUACGGCCCGCCCAUAGCUCCUUCGACGGCGCCGCCUAGGAACGCGGAGAAAAUAUGACAAAGGAACGGCCAAAAAUAAAAAGAAAGACCUUUCUUUUGAAAAAACAAACAAAAAAAAGGAAUGCAACACGAGGACUUCCCAGGAGGUCACCCAUCCUAGUACUACUCUCGCCCAAGCACGCUUAACUUCGGAGUUCUGAUGGGAUCCGGUGCUUUAGUGCUGGUAUGAUCGCAUCCGACAUACCGUGCGUUCUCCUCCCCUUUAUGCCCGCGCCUCCGUGUACGGCCCGCCCAUAGCUCCUUCGACGGCGCCGCCUAGGAACGCGGAGAAAAUAUGACAAAGGAACGGCCAAAAAUAAAAAGAAAGACCUUUCUUUUGAAAAAACAAACAAAUAAAAGGAAUGCAACACGAGGACUUCCCAGGAGGUCACCCAUCCUAGUACUACUCUCGCCCAAGCACGCUUAACUUCGGAGUUCUGAUGGGAUCCGGUGCUUUAGUGCUGGUAUGAUCGCAUCCGACAUACCGUGCGUUCUCCUCCCCUUUAUGCCCGCGCCUCCGUGUACGGCCCGCCCAUAGCUCCUUCGACGGCGCCGCCUAGGAACGCGGAGAAAAUAUGACAAAGGAACGGCCAAAAAUAAAAAGAAAGACCUUUCUUUUGAAAAAACAAACGCCUCCGUGUACGGCCCGCCCAUAGCUCCUUCGACGGCGCCGCCUAGGAACGCGGAGAAAAUAUGACAAAGGAACGGCCAAAAAUAAAAAGAAAGACCUUUCUUUUGAAAAAACAAACAAAAAAAAGGAAUGCAACACGAGGACUUCCCAGGAGGUCACCCAUCCUAGUACUACUCUCGCCCAAGCACGCUUAACUUCGGAGUUCUGAUGGGAUCCGGUGCUUUAGUGCUGGUAUGAUCGCAUCCGACAUACCGUGCGUUCUCCUCCCCUUUAUGCCCGCGCCUCCGUGUACGGCCCGCCCAUAGCUCCUUCGACGGCGCCGCCUAGGAACGCGGAGAAAAUAUGACAAAGGAACGGCCAAAAAUAAAAAGAAAGACCUUUCUUUUGAAAAAACAAACAAAUAAAAGGAAUGCAACACGAGGACUUCCCAGGAGGUCACCCAUCCUAGUACUACUCUCGCCCAAGCACGCUUAACUUCGGAGUUCUGAUGGGAUCCGGUGCUUUAGUGCUGGUAUGAUCGCAUCCGACAUACCGUGCGUUCUCCUCCCCUUUAUGCCCGCGCCUCCGUGUACGGCCCGCCCAUAGCUCCUUCGACGGCGCCGCCUAGGAACGCGGAGAAAAUAUGACAAAGGAACGGCCAAAAAUAAAAAGAAAGACCUUUCUUUUGAAAAAACAAACAAAAAAAAGGAAUGCAACACGAGGACUUCCCAGGAGGUCACCCAUCCUAGUACUACUCUCGCCCAAGCACGCUUAACUUCGGAGUUCUGAUGGGAUCCGGUGCUUUAGUGCUGGUAUGAUCGCAUCCGACAUACCGUGCGUUCUCCUCCCCUUUAUGCCCGCGCCUCCGGGUACGGUCCUCCCAUAGCUCCGUCAACGGCCCGCCUAGGAACGCGGAGAAAAUAUGACAAAGGAACGGCCAAAAAUAAAAAGAAAGCCCUUUCUUUUGAAAAGACAACCGAAUAAAAGGAAUGCCACGCGAGGACUUCCCAGGAGGUCACCCAUCAUAGUACUACUCUCGCCCAAGCACGCUUAACUUCGGAGUUCUGAUGGGAUCCGGUGCUUUAGUGCUGGUAUGAUCGCAUCCGACAUACCGCGCGUUCUCCUCCCCUUAAGGCCCGCGCCUCCGUGUACGGCCCGCCCAUAGCUCCUUAGACGGCACCUCCUAGGAACGCGGAGAAAAUAUGACAAAGGAACGGCCAAAAAUAAAAAGAAAGACCUUUCUUUUGAAAAAACAAACGCCUCCGUGUACGGCCCGCCCAUAGCUCCUUCGACGGCGCCGCCUAGGAACGCGGAGAAAAUAUGACAAAGGAACGGCCAAAAAUAAAAAGAAAGACCUUUCUUUUGAAAAAACAAACAAAAAAAAGGAAUGCAACACGAGGACUUCCCAGGAGGUCACCCAUCCUAGUACUACUCUCGCCCAAGCACGCUUAACUUCGGAGUUCUGAUGGGAUCCGGUGCUUUAGUGCUGGUAUGAUCGCAUCCGACAUACCGUGCGUUCUCCUCCCCUUUAUGCCCGCGCCUCCGUGUACGGCCCGCCCAUAGCUCCUUCGACGGCGCCGCCUAGGAACGCGGAGAAAAUAUGACAAAGGAACGGCCAAAAAUAAAAAGAAAGACCUUUCUUUUGAAAAAACAAACGCCUCCGCGUACGGCCCGCCCAUAGCUCCUUCGACGGCGCCGCCUAGGAACGCGGAGAAAAUAUGACAAAGGAACGGCCAAAAAUAAAAAGAAAGACCUUUCUUUUGAAAAAACAAACAAAAAAAAGGAAUGCAACACGAGGACUUCCCAGGAGGUCACCCAUCCUAGUACUACUCUCGCCCAAGCACGCUUAACUUCGGAGUUCUGAUGGGAUCCGGUGCUUUAGUGCUGGUAUGAUCGCAUCCGACAUACCGUGCGUUCUCCUCCCCUUUAUGCCCGCGCCUCCGUGUACGGCCCGCCCAUAGCUCCUUCGACGGCGCCGCCUAGGAACGCGGAGAAAAUAUGACAAAGGAACGGCCAAAAAUAAAAAGAAAGACCUUUCUUUUGAAAAAACAAACAAAUAAAAGGAAUGCAACACGAGGACUUCCCAGGAGGUCACCCAUCCUAGUACUACUCUCGCCCAAGCACGCUUAACUUCGGAGUUCUGAUGGGAUCCGGUGCUUUAGUGCUGGUAUGAUCGCAUCCGACAUACCGUGCGUUCUCCUCCCCUUUAUGCCCGCGCCUCCGUGUACGGCCCGCCCAUAGCUCCUUCGACGGCGCCGCCUAGGAACGCGGAGAAAAUAUGACAAAGGAACGGCCAAAAAUAAAAAGAAAGACCUUUCUUUUGAAAAAACAAACAAAUAAAAGGAAUGCAACACGAGGACUUCCCAGGAGGUCACCCAUCCUAGUACUACUCUCGCCCAAGCACGCUUAACUUCGGAGUUCUGAUGGGAUCCGGUGCUUUAGUGCUGGUAUGAUCGCAUCCGACAUACCGUGCGUUCUCCUCCCCUUUAUGCCCGCGCCUCCGUGUACGGCCCGCCCAUAGCUCCUUCGACGGCGCCGCCUAGGAACGCGGAGAAAAUAUGACAAAGGAACGGCCAAAAAUAAAAAGAAAGACCUUUCUUUUGAAAAAACAAACGCCUCCGUGUACGGCCCGCCCAUAGCUCCUUCGACGGCGCCGCCUAGGAACGCGGAGAAAAUAUGACAAAGGAACGGCCAAAAAUAAAAAGAAAGACCUUUCUUUUGAAAAAACAAACAAAAAAAAGGAAUGCAACACGAGGACUUCCCAGGAGGUCACCCAUCCUAGUACUACUCUCGCCCAAGCACGCUUAACUUCGGAGUUCUGAUGGGAUCCGGUGCUUUAGUGCUGGUAUGAUCGCAUCCGACAUACCGUGCGUUCUCCUCCCCUUUAUGCCCGCGCCUCCGUGUACGGCCCGCCCAUAGCUCCUUCGACGGCGCCGCCUAGGAACGCGGAGAAAAUAUGACAAAGGAACGGCCAAAAAUAAAAAGAAAGACCUUUCUUUUGAAAAAACAAACAAAUAAAAGGAAUGCAACACGAGGACUUCCCAGGAGGUCACCCAUCCUAGUACUACUCUCGCCCAAGCACGCUUAACUUCGGAGUUCUGAUGGGAUCCGGUGCUUUAGUGCUGGUAUGAUCGCAUCCGACAUACCGUGCGUUCUCCUCCCCUUUAUACCCGCGCCUCCGUGUACGGCCCGCCCAUAGCUCCUUCGACGGCGCCGCCUAGGAACGCGGAGAAAAUAUGACAAAGGAACGGCCAAAAAUAAAAAGAAAGACCUUUCUUUUGAAAAAACAAACAAAUAAAAGGAAUGCAACACGAGGACUUCCCAGGAGGUCACCCAUCCUAGUACUACUCUCGCCCAAGCACGCUUAACUUCGGAGUUCUGAUGGGAUCCGGUGCUUUAGUGCUGGUAUGAUCGCAUCCGACAUACCGUGCGUUCUCCUCCCCUUUAUGCCCGCGCCUCCGUGUACGGCCCGCCCAUAGCUCCUUCGACGGCGCCGCCUAGGAACGCGGAGAAAAUAUGACAAAGGAACGGCCAAAAAUAAAAAGAAAGACCUUUCUUUUGAAAAAACAAACGCCUCCGUGUACGGCCCGCCCAUAGCUCCUUCGACGGCGCCGCCUAGGAACGCGGAGAAAAUAUGACAAAGGAACGGCCAAAAAUAAAAAGAAAGACCUUUCUUUUGAAAAAACAAACAAAAAAAAGGAAUGCAACACGAGGACUUCCCAGGAGGUCACCCAUCCUAGUACUACUCUCGCCCAAGCACGCUUAACUUCGGAGUUCUGAUGGGAUCCGGUGCUUUAGUGCUGGUAUGAUCGCAUCCGACAUACCGUGCGUUCUCCUCCCCUUUAUACCCGCGCCUCCGUGUACGGCCCGCCCAUAGCUCCUUCGACGGCGCCGCCUAGGAACGCGGAGAAAAUAUGACAAAGGAACGGCCAAAAAUAAAAAGAAAGACCUUUCUUUUGAAAAAACAAGCAAAAAAAAGGAAUGCAACACGAGGACUUCCCAGGAGGUCACCCAUCCUAGUACUACUCUCGCCCAAGCACGCUUAACUUCGGAGUUCUGAUGGGAUCCGGUGCUUUAGUGCUGGUAUGAUCGCAUCCGACAUACCGUGCGUUCUCCUCCCCUUUAUGCCCGCGCCUCCGUGUACGGCCCGCCCAUAGCUCCUUCGACAGCGCCGCCUAGGAACGCGGAGAAAAUAUGACAAAGGAACGGCAAAAAAUAAAAAGAAAGACCUUUCUUUUGAAAAAACAAACAAAAAAAAGGAAUGCAACACGCGGACUUCCCAGGAGGUCACCCAUCCUAGUACUACUCUCGCCUAAGCACGCUUAACUUCGGAGUNN
RNAcentral lists this long non-coding RNA (16593 nucleotides) under Sorghum bicolor (sorghum). RNAcentral describes it as "long non-coding RNA (SBIC_LNC015499)". The record is from RNAcentral. Lineage: Eukaryota; Viridiplantae; Streptophyta; Magnoliopsida; Poales; Poaceae.